This 1070-nucleotide long non-coding RNA is filed under the name Ananas comosus (pineapple). RNAcentral describes it as "long non-coding RNA (ACOM_LNC018654)". Lineage: Eukaryota; Viridiplantae; Streptophyta; Magnoliopsida; Poales; Bromeliaceae. The record is from RNAcentral.
GUGAUAUAGGUUUGUAAACAUAUUAAGUAUUUUUUUUAAUUAAUAAAAAAUAAAUUUUAUUUAUAUUUAUUGUCAGCAGUAUAAUAUAUUUAUAUGAUUCGUCUGGUGAAUCUUCGUUAAAAAAAUAUAUUUUUAAGAGUUAGAAAUUUGAGAUAUAUAUUUUUUAGUACAAGAUUUUUAAACGCUCCUAGCCAUUGGAAUAUCAUAAAGACGAUGAUAUUUUCGGAUAGGCCGAUGCAUGCUACACUUCUAUAUUGAGGUGACGAAUCUCAAGUCAUUAGUAUAGAGACACUAAAGUAAAUAUGCAGAUGCUUGUUAGCAAACAAGUACACUGAGCGUGACCAUUUAGUUGAACAGUGACAUGGUUCCAUAUUCACCGGUGACCAUUUACUAUGAAGUUCUAUCUUGCUAUAAAUUAUAUCUAUAUUCUAUGUGGUGAUUAGAUUUAAGGUUUAUUACUUACAAAAAGGAUUCUUAUAUUCCCUACUUAUAAUUUAUUUAACUCUUGAUAAUAUUUAACUCUUGAUAAUAUUUAAAACUUAAGAGUUAGUUUAAAGCUUAACAUAAGUCAUUGCACCUUUUCACAAAGACAACAACAUCCAAGCUACAUAAACCAUUGCAUUCUUUCACAAAGACAAUAACAGCAGGUGGAAUACUUGUACCAAACACAUACUCCGACCGACCAACUGUUUUGCUAUAGUUCUAAAUUCACCCUAUUUGUUCUCAAUCAGCGAAACCUAGAUAUUCUCAAUCGACGAAGCCUACCGUGGUGGGGGACCAUUCGGUCUCCCUAACCUGAUUGUUCUUAAUCGGCGAAGCCUUCCCUGUAUGUGAAUUUCAUAUGAAUGUGUAUGUGAAUUUGUGUAUGAUUGAAUCUUAUAGUCAGAAAAUAUAUGUGUAUUUAGAUAUGUGUAUUUUAGAUAUGUUUAUUUAAUAUAUGUGUAUUUUAUAUAUGUCUAAAUUAUAUAUGUGUAAUUUAUAUAUGUUUAAUAUAAAUAUGUUAAUUUUAUAUGUCUAUGAUAUAUAUUUUAUGUCUAUUUUAAUAUAUGUCUAUAAUAUAUAUUUUAUGU